Molecule: ribosomal RNA, 497 nt
Filed under: uncultured bacterium
Lineage: Bacteria
Description: partial 16S ribosomal RNA
Rfam family: Bacterial small subunit ribosomal RNA
Source: RNAcentral
GACGAACGCUGGCGGCGUGCCUAAUACAUGCAAGUAGAACGCUGAAGCGAGGAGCUUACUCUUCUUGGAUGAGUUGCGAACGGGUGAGUAACGCGUAGGUAACCUGCCUUGUAGCGGGGGAUAACUAUUGGAAACGAUAGCUAAUACCGCAUAACAAUGGAUGACACAUGUCAUUUAUUUGAAAGGGGCAAUUGCUCCACUACAAGAUGGACCUGCGUUGUAUUAGCUAGUAGGUGAGGUAAUGGCUCACCUAGGCGACGAUACAUAGCCGACCUGAGAGGGUGAUCGGCCACCCUGGGACUGAGACACGGCCCAGACUCCUACGGGAGGCAGCAGUAGGGAAUCUUCGGCAAGGGGGGCAACCCUGACCGAGCAACGCCGCGUGAGUGAAGAAGGUUUUCGGAUCGUAAAGCUCUGUUGUAAGUCAAGAACGGGUGUGAGAGUGGAAAGUUCACACUGUGACGGUAGCUUACCAGAAAGGGACGGCUAACUACGUG